UAGAGAGUGAUACAGACUUAACAAAACGCA
RNAcentral lists this non-coding RNA (30 nucleotides) under Mus musculus (house mouse). The record is from RNAcentral. Lineage: Eukaryota; Metazoa; Chordata; Mammalia; Rodentia; Muridae.